This 253-nucleotide ribosomal RNA is filed under the name uncultured bacterium. Its description in RNAcentral is "partial 16S ribosomal RNA". It matches the Rfam family "Bacterial small subunit ribosomal RNA", at positions 524 to 776 of the family's 1533-position model. The record is from RNAcentral.
UACGUAGGGGGCAAGCGUUGUCCGGAUUUAUUGGGCGUAAAGAGCGUGUAGGCGGUUAGGUAGGUCCGUUGUGAAAACUCGAGGCUCAACCUCGAGACGCCGAUGGAAACCAUCUGACUAGAGUCCGGAAGAGGAGAGUGGAAUUCCUGGUGUAGCGGUGAAAUGUGCAGAUAUCAGGAAGAACACCCGUGGCUAAGGCGGCUCUCUAGUACGGUACUGACGCUGAGACGCGAAAGCGUGGGGAGCGAACAGG